CCGCCUCGCGCGCCCGUUACUUAAGCCUGCGAGCGCCUGCCGCGCGCUGCCGAGGCUCCUCAGCUGAGCUCCGAGCGGUCGAUCGCCUUCACUCCCGCAGUCCGCGCUCCGCUUGCCGCUGGCUCCACCCGCCAUUGUAGGCCUGUAGUCCGAUAUGGAGCAUGCCUUUACCCCGUUGGAACCCCUGCUUCCCACCGGUGGGACAAGGAAAUGAGAAAAAAGGAUUGUUUGGGAUGAGGUCACCUUCCUUUGGGAGAUGGAGAAAGGCCAGUAACAGAUGACUUCAUUGGUGCCGACCAAUUUCUGACUGAAGACUACAUU
This is a non-coding RNA of Leptonychotes weddellii (Weddell seal), 321 nucleotides long. The record is from RefSeq and is a predicted model, not a curated record. Lineage: Eukaryota; Metazoa; Chordata; Mammalia; Carnivora; Phocidae.